Long non-coding RNA from Stylophora pistillata, 213 nucleotides. RefSeq lists it as uncharacterized. The record is from RefSeq and is a predicted model, not a curated record. Lineage: Eukaryota; Metazoa; Cnidaria; Anthozoa; Scleractinia; Pocilloporidae.
GGACCUAUCUUACAACCAGUUGCCCAACUUGACUCGAGGUGUUCUCAGCACAAACACCAAGCUGAAAGAAAUGGAUUUGUCAAACAACAGGAUUAAGCGCUUGCCCCUGGAUAUCUUUGGCAACCUCACUCAAUUGAAAAGGCUCUUUCUGUCCAGUAACAGAAUUCAGCAUUUGCCAAGGUUCAACAACCUCUCCAAGAUAGAAACAUUGUA